This 2974-nucleotide ribosomal RNA is filed under the name Candidatus Omnitrophota bacterium. RNAcentral's name for it is "Candidatus Omnitrophica bacterium (sediment metagenome) 23S ribosomal RNA". It matches the Rfam family "Bacterial large subunit ribosomal RNA". The record is from RNAcentral. Lineage: Bacteria; Pseudomonadati; Candidatus Omnitrophota.
GGUUAAGCUACAAAGGGCUUAUGGAGGAUGACUUGGCACGGGAAGGCGAUGAAGGACGCGGUAAGCAGCGAUAUGCUUCGGGGAGCCGCAAACAGGCUUUGAUCCGGAGAUGUCCGAAUGGGGAAACCCGGCUGAAGUAAUGUUCAGCGAUCCCGAAAGGGAGGCAAAACCAGGAGAAUUGAACCAUCUUAGUAUCCUGAGGAAAAGAAAACAUAUGUCAUUCCCGUAGUAGCGGCGAGCGAACUGGGAGGAGCCUAAAACCUUGAGACGUGAUAGCCUGUAUGCGUUGUCUCAGGGUGGUUGUGGGGGAGAUCCGGAUCGGUGUACAGACUGAUCGGCUUCGUUUUGAUUCAUAGCUGAAAGAGUUGGAAAGCUCUACGAAAGAGGGUGAUAGUCCCGUAAGCGAAAUGGAUCGGACUGGCUGGGAUCUUUUCCCAAGUAUCGUGGAACACGUGGAACUCCGCGAGAAUUUGCCUAGACCACUAGGUAAGGCUAAAUACUAAUCCGUGACCGAUAGUGCACAAGUAAUGUGAAUGAAAGUUGAAAAGAACCCCGGUGAGGGGAGUGAAAUAGUACCUGAAACCAUAAGCUUACAAGCGGUGGCAGACCUAUGACCUGAUUUAUCAGGUAAUGGUUGACCGCGUACCUUUUGAUUAAUGAACCUGCGAGUUACUAUGUCCAGCAAGGUUAAUCAGCAUCUGCUGAGAAGCCGUAGCGAAAGCGAGUCUGAAUAGGGCGAUUUAGUUGGAUAGAGUAGACCCGAAACCGAGUGAUCUACUUAUGGCCAGGGUGAAGGUCGGGUAAAACCGACUGGAGGCCCGAACCCACCUGCGUUGAAAAUCAGGGGGAUGAGCUGUGAGUCGGAGCGAAAGACUAAUCAAACUCGGAGAUAGCUGGUUCUCCUCGAAAUAGCUUUAGGGCUAGCCUGGUAAUAGAUGGCGGCAGGGGUAGAGUACUGAAUGGGCUAGGGGGCUUACCAGCUUACUGAACCCAAUCAAACUCCGAAUACUGUCGUACCAUGUUACUGGAGUCAGACUGUGGGGGAUAAGCUCCAUGGUCGAAAGGGAAACAGCCCAGCCCACCAACUAAGGUCCCUCAAUAUAGGUUAAGUGGUAAAGGAGGUGGAGUCACUUCGACAACCAGGAUGUUGGCUUAGAAGCAGCCAUCAUUUAAAGAAAGCGUAACAGCUCACUGGUCAAUUGUGAUUCCGCGCCGAAAAUGAUCGGGGCUAAACCUAUUACCGAAGUUGUGGAGUGUGUUCCUUCGGGAACAUAUUGGUAGAGGAGCGUUCCAUCUUAGAGUGAAGUAUGACCGAAAGGACAUAUGGACGAAAUGGAAGUGUUUAUGCAGGUAUGAGUAGUGAAAAAAUACGUGAGAAACGUAUUCGCCGAAAGUCUAAGGUUUCCUGAGGAAGGUUAAUCCUCUCAGGGUUAGUCGGUCCUAAGCCGAGGCCGAAAGGCGUAGACGAUGGACAUCAGGUUCAAUAUUCCUGAACCACCUAUACCGCGUUAAUAACUCGUAGUGACGCAGAAAGCUAAGCAAUCGCGCUGUUGGAUUAGCGCGUCCAAGCUUGUAGUCCUUCGGGACGAGAAGCGAGUGGGAGCCCUAUCUACGGAGAAGGCGAACUUGUUCAUGCUAUGUUGCCAAGAAAAACCUACUGAGUGAGUUGUAUGGGUGACCGUACCUAAUCCGACACAGGUAGACGGGUAGAAUAUACUAAGGCGCUCGAAAUAAGUCUCUUUAAGGAACUCGGCAAAUUGGCCCCGUAACUUCGGGACAAGGGGUACCCCGGUACCGUGAUGGAAUUUACUUCCGGAGCGGGAUGGGGUUACAACGAAUAGGCCCAUGCGACUGUUUAGCAAAAACACAGCUCUCUGCUAACUCGUAAGAGGAUGUAUAGGGAGUGACACCUGCCCGGUGCUGGAAGGUCAACAGUUUCGGUGAUCCCUCGCAAGAGGGUGAGCUGCGGCUCGAAGCCCCAGUAAACGGCGGCCGUAACUAUAACGGUCCUAAGGUAGCGAAAUUCCUUGUCGGGUAAAUUCCGACCCGCACGAAUGGUGUAACGAUAUGGGAACUGUCUCAAAGAGGUUUUCGAUGAAAUUGGAGUAUCGGUGAAGAUACCGGUUACCCGCAGCGGGACGAAAAGACCCCGGAACCUUUACUAUACGCUGAUAUUGAAUUCUGACUCCUCAUGUGUAGGAUAGGUGGGAGGCUUUGAAGUGGGGGCGUUAGCUUCCAUGGAGCCAACCGUGAAAUACCACCCUUGAUGUGUUAGGAUUCUAACCCGACUAUCUGAAACGAUAGCGGGGACCGUGUCAGCCGGGUAGUUUGACUGGGGCGGUUUCCUCCUAAAGAGUAACGGAGGAGUUCAAAGGUUACCUCAGCGCGGUCGGCAAUCGCGCAUCGAGUGUAAAGGCAUAAGGUAGCUUAACUGCGAGACAAACAAGUCGAGCAGGUACGAAAGUAGGACUUAGUGAUCCGGCGAUACCGUGUGGAAGGGUCGUCGCUCAACGGAUAAAAGGUACUCUGGGGAUAACAGGCUUAUCUCGCCCAAGAGUUCAUAUCGACGGCGAGGUUUGGCACCUCGAUGUCGGCUCAUCACAUCCUGGGGCUGGAGAAGGUCCCAAGGGUCCGGCUGUUCGCCGGUUAAAGUGGUACGUGAGCUGGGUUCAGAACGUCGCAAGACAGUUCGGUCUCUAUCUGCUGUGGGCGUAGGAUAUUUGAAGGGAUCAGUCCCUAGUACGAGAGGACCGGGAUUGACGAACCUCUGGUGUUCCAGCUGUCACGCCAGUGGCACACGUUGGGUAGCUAUGUUCGGAAAGGAUAAGUGCUGAAAGCAUAUAAGCGCCAAGCCCCCCUUAAGAAUAGAUAUCCCUAUCAGGCACCUUGUAGACUACGAGGUUGAUAGGUUCCGAGUGCAAGGCUCGUAAGGGCUUUAGCUGAGGAAUACUAAUAUGCCGACCGGCUUGACCUA